Cuculus canorus (common cuckoo) is the source of this 4277-nucleotide RNA transcript. It is a transcript of the gene named WT1 associated protein, with no coding region annotated. The transcript is spliced from 7 exons. NCBI's taxonomy places the organism in Eukaryota, Metazoa, Chordata, Aves, Cuculiformes, Cuculidae. The record is from RefSeq and is a predicted model, not a curated record.
AGCGCAGAGAAAUCCGCAAAUAAAGAGCGGGCGGGAGCGGCGCCGCCGAGAGAGAGCCCGGGCGGGAGAAGGCAGGGGGGACGGCGACGCGGCGGCAGAAGCAGCAGCGACAGCGACGACGACGAGAACGACCGCGGCUCCGGAGCGGCGGUUCCUCCCCUCCCCAAGAGCCGGUUUGCGGGCGCGGAGGUGGCGGCAGGCGUGAGCGGUGGCGGCGCUUCGCCCUCGAUGUGACGGGCGCGGCGCGGGCAGCGAUCGUGCGGGGAGAGCGCGGCCUCCGCUCCGCGGGUGGGAGAGUUCACAAUGACGAAUGAGGAACCUCUCCCAAAGAAGGUUCGCCUUAGUGAAGCAGAUUUUAAGGUUUUACCUAGGGACGAGCUCAUUCUAAGGUGGAAACAGUAUGAAGCAUACGUGCAAGCUCUGGAGGGCAAGUACACAGAUCUUAAUUCUAACGAUGUGACGGGAUUGAGAGAAUCUGAAGAGAAGCUGAAACAGCAGCAGCAAGAGUCUGCACGAAGAGAAAAUAUUCUGGUGAUGAGGCUGGCAACUAAGGAACAGGAGAUGCAGGAGUGUACUAAUCAGAUUCAGUACCUCAAGCAAGUCCAGCAGCCUAGUGUUGCACAACUGCGAUCAACAAUGGUGGACCCAGCCAUCAACUUGUUUUUCCUAAAAAUGAAAGGUGAACUGGAACAGACUAAAGACAAACUGGAACAAGCCCAAAAUGAACUGAGUGCCUGGAAAUUUACGCCUGAUAGGUAAACAAAACAAAUACUCCCCAGUCAAGACUUCCCUGACAGUCCCACUACGAGAAUGCUAUGGUGGGACAGCCAAGUACUCGUUUCCACACCAAGACUCAGACGUUUUGAGGCAAAAAGCCACAUUCUUAUACUGUCCAGCUUGUAAUGAUUAAUGUAAAACUUACCAGAUGAACCUUGUGUUUCAGCUUUUUUCUCCCCCUUUGCUUCAGAGGCCUGAUGGCGUCGGACUAUUCUGAAGAAAUGGCCAUCUUCGAAAAAAAAUCUUUUCUAGAACAUGUAGACAUUUGCAAAAUUUUUCUAUUUGAAGAAAAUAGAGGGAGAAACAGAAGUCUUAAGUCUGUGGCACACUGUGUCUACAGACAAUUUGGAGGAGAGAACCUAGAGAUUAUAAAUAAUGAAUUGAACAUGUAAAAUUCUCGUAAAAUGUAGAAGUGGAAUAUGCUUCACUCUUAACCUUGAGCCUAGUGACUUAGAGACACUGUAAGUCAGUUUUGCCAAUAAGACUGUGGACUUCCUGCUUGUUCACUGAACUGCUGGGUCAAAACUCAAUGAGGUGAAUUUUGCAUUAAAGAGUUUACUUGCUAACCACUUUUGAAUAGCCAUGAGAGUGCCACUUGAUAUCACAGGAGUGGCAGUGCACACAUUUGACUGUUGAGCCUCUGGGCUUUCUAGCACUUGACGGAGCCUUAAGUCAGUGUUGCUAAAUAAUGAACUGUUUUCUGAAUGGUUGGUAAUACAUGGACGCCUCAAAAUUAGGACUGUACAAAAAUGUACAUUCUAUCUAAUUGCAGGUUUAAAAUUGUUGGAAGCAAUAUAUAUUUGAUCACAACUAGCAUGUAUGAGAAACUGGUUGUGAUAACUAUUUCACUGCAUGUUUUCAUGCAGAAAUGAGAGGUUUUCGAUCUUCUAUACUAAGAACUGAUCUCAAAUGCUCAAUGCAGAAGGCACACAAUGAAUGGCACCUGUCUUCAGUGUUGGUGGGGUGUUUUUAUUCCUUUGUACACCUGUUUUUUUUGUAUUGCACUUCAAUAUAAAAUGUGCCUUGGAAUAGUUGUAAUACACAGGUCAAGGAAGACUGCUGGUUAUACUGUUGUAUUGUGAAACUCCUGGGAUGAACGAGAAUUGAACAGGUUGUUAUUUCUGCAUUGUCUCGUUCUCUGAAAACAAAGUCAGUAUUUUAACAAACAAAAAAAAAACAACCUUAAAUGCACGCAUUUUCCUUGGUGGAAUCAGUGAAGGAGCCUUUGCUACCCUAUUGAUGCCUCUGUUUCGUUGUCCCAAGUUACUUGUAAGAGUAGCUAUCUGGGACACUUGGGAGUGCAUGUCUGAGGUGUGUAAAGUGAAAUGCAGAUUUGGUGGAGCAUUUUGUGUGUUUACUUUCUUUAGUAAAUGGAGUUCUAUUUAGUAAUGAGAUUUUGAUUUUCAAAACAGUUGGGCAAGAUUUUAUGACUCAGUCUGAUUCUAGAAAAUUCAGUUUUAAAUGAAAAACCCACAUCCAGCUGUCAUAGAAGGUGAUGUAUUAUAACUGUUUUGGUAACUUUUAUUAAGAUGGCAUUACGUUUUUUAACUCUGAAGUAUUUUAACUGUUUGUGCUACCCAUGAUAUGGCGUUCAAGAGUAGUGCACUUCUGCAGGUUUAUUUUGUUUGCGUAAGUAAUGACUUAACAGCAAAAGAAAAACCUACAGAAAAACUUUACGUUUUUAAGUGAUACAUCUGGAUUGAUUUUGCUAUAGCACUAAGAUUUUAAUGAUCUAGCAUCAGAACAGAGGUAAGACUUGCAUUAAUAAAUGGUUAAUGUGUUACCAAGCCAUUUGUAAAGCUCGCUAUAAUGUGCAGAUAGAGGCAUGCUGUGCAGAUUCUUUGUUUAACUUGGAGUUCAGAAAAUUAUUUCAUAUACUUAGAUACAGGCUGGUUGGUUUUUUAAGUCCUCAGGCUCUAAAUGUACAUGUACAACUGAGGAGAGAUAAAUAACUUAGCGCUUUCUUUGAAGCAAAAGUAUCAAAAGAGAAUUUCAUUAUUUUGGUAGGUACAACGUGCCCCGAUAUGCAUCAUAUAAUUUGAAGUCAGUGGUGUGAAUGUGCAUAAUUCAUAUAUGAAGUAGUUGGAAUACAGAAAAUUAAGAGUUAUUUCCUGGUAAAGAAUGGAGGCUAUCUUCAUUAACUGGGUUAAGGUUUUAUUGCUUUUAUUUCUGGAAAGGUAAAGAAAUGAUGACUCAUGUAAAGUAUGUGUAGGCUUUUUCAUUCUCUUUGCAUCCUGCUCCUGCCUUUUAAUUGCUAUAAUUGUCCAUCUUUGUGUGCAGCUAUUCUUAUUUCUUAGCAUCUGACCUAGUUUUAGAAAUAGAUGAUGCUCCUAUUCAGAUCUCUAACUGGUGUUCUUAGAGUAGCAUGUUAACUGCAACCCUAGGCAGUUAUUAGUUCUGGGACUUAACCAUAGAUAAGGAUGUACAGCACAAUCCCUUCUGAUGCCUGGAGGGAGAAGUAGAAGCCAUUUCAACCAUCAUUAAAUAGUGUACGCUUGGAUUAAAAAUUAGUCGAAAUGUCACUUGCAGUAAGCCUAGUACAACAAACACUAGUCUCCUGGAAUUUAACCACUUACAUUCUUACAGGUUCUGGUGCUUUUGUGUUCAAGAGGAUAUGUGAAAACAAUGCCAAACUUAGUUUUACAGCUAACAUGAGUAUUUUAAUAGUUGCUGGAUUUUAUAUUCUUGCAUGUGUUGUCUUUUUUGUAAAUUGCAAGGGGAGGUUGGUGCCGUACUAGUUCUGAACAUCUGGAAAAUUUUUGAUGGGAAGAAAUAGCAUUAUAGGUAACUAUGCAAAUUUCUAUACAGGUAAUAAAUACGUUUUGGCAGGAGUUAACAUGAAGACAUUAAUGGGAUUCUAAAAUUGUCCCAAUUCCAAGGUAACUGGUACUUGCUAAUUCUACAGUUGACACUGUUUUGUGAAGAGAAAAGAAUUAAACGAUUUAAGCACUGUGAACUUCUUCAACUUGCAGUGAUGAUGAAUACAGUAACAGAAAUUUGGAAAUGGCUAAAAAUCUUUGCAUGUCUGCCUAAAAACUUUGGAGAUAAUCAAUGUGACGUCUCCCAAAAGUGGUCCUGCUUUACACAGAACGAACAUCUCUAAGGAAACUUGCAUCUUAAGUGUGCGACUUGGACUGUAUUAGGUCAGCACAAUUUAAACUUCAAGGACCUGGCAUUGGACAUCACAUCAAGAAAGAAAACGGGUUGCUGCCUUUAGCAGAGUUUCAGGCUUCCAGGACUUUACUCAGCCAGAUUCCUUCUGGAGCAGCCCAUCUGAAAGAUUUGGGAGAGUCAGUUGGAAAAUGUUAAAUGGGGCAGAGCUGGCAGAACAUAAAAGUUGUCUAAGUCUUGAAUGGUUAAAAGCCAAACAGGCAAAAAAUUAAUGGCGAAGUGUCGAAUGCUUAUCCAGGAGAAUCAAGAGCUUGGAAGGCAGCUGUCCCAAGGACGUAUUGCUCAGCUUGAGGCAGAGUUGGCUUUACAGAAGAAAUAUAGUGAGGAAC